CUUCAGGAUCGCUAGGGUUCCGGUUGUGCGCAGAUCAAUGCGCACGAUGUCUGGUCCGAGAGCAAUCCGGUCUUGCCGUUCACCUUCUUUCAAGGCGCCGGCGAGGCUCCACGGAGGGAUAAAAGCCCGGGAGGU
RNAcentral lists this small RNA (135 nucleotides) under Paraburkholderia phytofirmans. RNAcentral's name for it is "Burkholderia phytofirmans Guanidine-I sequence". It matches the Rfam family "Guanidine-I riboswitch aptamer". Rfam says of the family: This family represents a conserved RNA structure found upstream of the ykkC and yxkD genes in Bacillus subtilis and related genes in other bacteria. The function of this family is unclear although it has been suggested that it may function to switch on efflux pumps and detoxification systems in response to harmful environmental molecules. Lineage: Bacteria; Pseudomonadati; Pseudomonadota; Betaproteobacteria; Burkholderiales; Burkholderiaceae. The record is from RNAcentral. RNAcentral also lists the same sequence under 1 other name.